RNAcentral lists this long non-coding RNA (1032 nucleotides) under Gossypium barbadense (sea-island cotton). Its description in RNAcentral is "long non-coding RNA (GBAR_LNC000277)". Lineage: Eukaryota; Viridiplantae; Streptophyta; Magnoliopsida; Malvales; Malvaceae. The record is from RNAcentral.
GAAGAUGCAGUGGGUUGGAAUGGGGUUACUUGAAGAAUAUGAGCAUAAAGAGGUUGAGAUGUGGCAAGGCUGGGCAAAAUUGGUCUUUUUGUGGUCUUUGCUUCAUUCUCAUUACAUGACAACGCGCAAAGAGGGGGCAGCUGUGAGACCCGAAUUUUCCCGGGCUACCUAAUUUUGGCCCAAAUACCCAAUUACGGCCCAUACACAUACAAAGCAAAAGCAAAAACAAAUAAUAAAUCCAAAAAUAUAAGGACCAACCCAAUUAUAUAAAACAACCCAAAAAACUUUGACCCAAUUUUUAAAGCCCAAAACUCUACAAUAGCCCAAAUAAGAAAAGAACCCUAGGCUACUCCAUGCGCCGCACGAACGCAGCCACCGGCAAUCACCACAUACUCCACCUUGCACGUUCGCCCCAGCUCGCGUGUAGCACGCCCCACGCCCGUUCCUCCUCCACGUCUUCGUGACCUGCGACAUGAGCAAAGAAAUAGCAAGUAACCGUUGUAAAAAUGGCUACAAAAGGCCUCGAAUAUUCUUUGUUUUGGGACGGGUUUUUUUUUACCUUUUUUCAUAGAAAUAGAAUACGAGAAAAUACAAGAUUUACACAAAAAUCAAUAGAUAUCAGACAAAAAAUUCACUUCGAAUGUGGUUAUUCAUCAUUUUUUUUUCUUUUUUUUUUCAUUCAAAUCUGGUAUAUAUACUAAGGUAUGAUAAAGGGGAGAGGUUGGAUGUACCUUUCAGUGGCCGUCUACGGUAGCGUAUGAGGCGGUGGUGGGGGGCCUGGUUGUGAACCAUUCGGCUGAAGGUUGAGAGAGCAUCUCAAAAAUUUUGGGGUUUCUUUUUUUAAAAAAAGCAAAAAGGUAAAAUGUUUUUAAGGAAAAAGGGGUUUAAAAAAAGCUUUGGGUUUUUUAAAGGCUUCUUUAAUGUUUUUUUUUUUAAAUGAAAUAAAGGUUGUGUUUAAUUUUAACAGCAUUUGGGGGAGGGAAAGUGAUAGCCUCCGCAUUGACAAGCUAGAUCUGCGAAUGUUCCCCUUAA